RNAcentral lists this ribosomal RNA (455 nucleotides) under uncultured organism. RNAcentral describes it as "bacterial SSU rRNA". It matches the Rfam family "Bacterial small subunit ribosomal RNA", at positions 346 to 794 of the family's 1533-position model. The record is from RNAcentral.
GCGCAGCAGUCGCGAAUUUUUCACAAUGGGGGCAACCCUGAUGGAGCGACGCCGCGUGGAGGAUGAAGGCUUUCGGGUUGUAAACUCCUGUCAUUUGAGAACAAGUGUAGCCAACUAACUAUUGGCUACUUGAUAGUAUCAGAAGAGGAAGGGACGGCUAACUCUGUGCCAGCAGCCGCGGUAAUACAGAGGUCCCAAGCGUUGUUCGGAUUCAUUGGGCGUAAAGGGUGCGUAGGUGGCGCCGUAAGUGGGGUGUGAAAUUUCGGAGCUUAACUCCGAAACUGCAUUCCAUACUGCGGUGCUUGAGGACUGGAGAGGAGACUGGAAUUCAUGGUGUAGCAGUGAAAUGCGUAGAGAUCAUGAGGAAGACCAGUGGCGAAGGCGGGUCUCUGGACAGUUCCUGACACUGAGGCACGAAGGCUAGGGGAGCGAACGGGAUUAGAUACCCCCGUAGU